RNAcentral lists this ribosomal RNA (459 nucleotides) under uncultured bacterium. Its description in RNAcentral is "partial 16S ribosomal RNA". It matches the Rfam family "Bacterial small subunit ribosomal RNA", at positions 338 to 795 of the family's 1533-position model. The record is from RNAcentral.
CCUACGGGUGGCAGCAGUGAGGAAUAUUGGUCAAUGGCCGGAAGGCUGAACCAGCCAAGCCGCGUGAAGGACGAAGGUGCCAAGCAUUGUAAACUUCUUUUGUCAAGGGACAAAAUCAGGCUCGAGAGCCUGACCGAGGGUACUUGAAGAAAAAGCAUCGGAUAACUCCGUGCCAGCCGCCGCGGUAAUACGUAGGAUGCGAGCGUUAUCCGGAUUUAUUGGGUUUAAGGGGUGCGUAGGCGGACUGUUAAGUCAGCGGUAAAAGCCCGGGGCUCAACCCCGGCGAGACGUUGAAACUGGCUGUCUUGAGAUGUCGAGAGGUAUGCGGAAUGCGAAGUGUAGCGGUGAAAUGCUUAGAGAUUGCGCAGAACUCCGAUUGCGAAGGCAGCAUACCGGCGGCGAUCUGACGCUGAGGCACGAAAGCGUGGGUAGCGAACAGGAUUAGAUACCCGAGUAGUC